This 255-nucleotide ribosomal RNA is filed under the name uncultured bacterium. RNAcentral's name for it is "partial 16S ribosomal RNA". It matches the Rfam family "Bacterial small subunit ribosomal RNA", at positions 99 to 354 of the family's 1533-position model. The record is from RNAcentral.
CGGACGGGUGAGUAACGCGUGGAGAACCUGCCGUAUACUGGGGGAUAACACUUAGAAAUAGGUGCUAAUACCGCAUAAGCGCACAGCUUCGCAUGAAGCAGUGUGAAAAACUCCGGUGGUAUACGAUGGAUCCGCGUCUGAUUAGCUGGUUGGCGGGGUAAAGGCCCACCAAGGCGGCGAUCAGUAGCCGGCCUGAGAGGGUGGACGGCCACAUUGGGACUGAGACACGGCCCAAACUCCUACGGAAGGCAGCAG